RNAcentral lists this ribosomal RNA (506 nucleotides) under uncultured bacterium. RNAcentral describes it as "partial 16S ribosomal RNA". It matches the Rfam family "Bacterial small subunit ribosomal RNA", at positions 29 to 523 of the family's 1533-position model. The record is from RNAcentral.
AGUGAACGCUGGCGGUAGGCCUAACACAUGCAAGUCGAACGGCAGCACAGGAGAGCUUGCUCUCUGGGUGGCGAGUGGCGGACGGGUGAGGAAUACAUCGGAAUCUACUCUGUCGUGGGGGAUAACGUAGGGAAACUUACGCUAAUACCGCAUACGACCUACGGGUGAAAGCAGGGGACCUUCGGGCCUUGCGCGAUUGAAUGAGCCGAUGUCGGAUUAGCUAGUUGGCGGGGUAAAGGCCCACCAAGGCGACGAUCCGUAGCUGGUCUGAGAGGAUGAUCAGCCACACUGGAACUGAGACACGGUCCAGACUCCGGCGGGAGGCAGCAGUGGGGAAUAUUGGACAAUGGGCGCAAGCCUGAUCCAGCCAUACCGCGUGGGUGAAGAAGGCCUUCGGGUUGUAAAGCCCUUUUGUUGGGAAAGAAAUCCAGCUGGCUAAUACCCGGUUGGGAUGACGGUACCCAAAGAAUAAGCACCGGCUAACUUCGUGCCAGCAGCCGCAGUAA